This 511-nucleotide unclassified non-coding RNA is filed under the name Hevea brasiliensis (rubber tree). The record is from RNAcentral. Lineage: Eukaryota; Viridiplantae; Streptophyta; Magnoliopsida; Malpighiales; Euphorbiaceae.
GGGAGACUAAUGAUACUACCCACCUAAAAAAUCAAGGCAAACAAUCAAAGUUAUGUCCAGCAUGAAAAGUCAAAGACAAAAAUACUUCCAAUGCAGCAAAAAAGAAAGUGUGAAUGAAAAGAUAUAAUGAACCGAGCAAAGGCAAAGACCGAACAAAAGCUUCAUUUGCCCAAAAGGCGAACAGAAGCCAUACAGAACAAUAAUCGCAGUAAGUCAGAUAAGAGCCAGAUCUCACGGAUCGAGCAAUAAUCACGCACGUAAUCCAAUAAAGAAUGGAUUUUACAGAAAUCACCUUAGAGAUUUAGCCAAGAUUACUAUCGUAAAUAAAGCAAUAACUAUUUCCUAAAAAAGCCUAUAAAUACCAACUAAAUGAUGAGAAAUAGGUACGCUGACUAACUCUACAACUCUCUUUUAUUGAAAAAUUCUCUAAUUUCUCUCUGAAGAACUAAGAUCUCUGACUUGAGCAUCAAAGUAGCCUGCCAGAAGGCCACCCACCUCGUCUUUCCCUCUU